RNAcentral lists this ribosomal RNA (588 nucleotides) under uncultured bacterium. RNAcentral describes it as "bacterial SSU rRNA". It matches the Rfam family "Bacterial small subunit ribosomal RNA", at positions 37 to 641 of the family's 1533-position model. The record is from RNAcentral.
UGGCGGCGUGGCUAACACAUGCAAGUCGCACGAGAAAGUGGAGCAAUCCAUGAGUAAAGUGGCGUACGGGUGAGUAACACGUGACUAACCUACCCUCGAGCGGGGAAUAACUUCGGGAAACCGAGGCUAAUACCGCAUAACAUCUUCUGGCUGAGAUGCCGGUUGAUCAAACCAGCAAUGGGCUUGAGGAGGGGGUCGCGGCUGAUUAGCUAGUUGGUGAGGUAACGGCUCACCAAGGCGAUGAUCAGUAGCCGGCCUGAGAGGGCGCACGGCCACACUGGAACUGAAACACGGUCCAGACUCCUACGGGAGGCAGCAGUGGGGAAUUUUGCGCAAUGGGGGAAACCCUGACGCAGCAACGCCGCGUGGAGGAUGAAGUCCCUUGGGACGUAAACUCCUUUCGAUCGGGACGAUAAUGACGGUACCGGAAGAAGAAGCCCCGGCUAACUUCGUGCCAGCAGCCGCGGUAAUACGAGGGGGGCAAGUGUUGUUCGGAAUUAUUGGGCGUAAAGGGCGCGUAGGCGGUGCGGUAAGUCUGGUGUGAAAUCUCCGGGCUCAACUCGGAGCUUGCAUCAAAAACUGCCGUGC